GGGGGGGGCAAGCGUUUGUUCGGAAUUACUGGGCGUAAAGGGCGCGCAGGCGGGCGGGAAAGUCUCUCGUGAAAUCCCACGGCUCAACCGUGGAAUUGCGGGAGAUACUACUCGUCUUGAGUUCGGGAGAGGAGUGUGGAAUUCCCAGUGUAGCGGUGAAAUGCGUAGAUAUUGGGAGGAACACCGGUGGCGAAGGCGGCACUCUGGACCGAUACUGACGCUGAGGCGCGAAAGCUAGGGGAGCAAACGGGAUUAGAUACCCCGGGUAGUCCUAGCUGUAAACGCUGAGCACUUGGUGUAGCGGGUUAUCGACCCCCCCGUGCUGUGCCGAAGCUAACGCAUUAAGUGCUCCGCCUGGGGGAGUACGGUCGCAAGGCUG
RNAcentral lists this ribosomal RNA (379 nucleotides) under uncultured organism. RNAcentral's name for it is "partial 16S ribosomal RNA". It matches the Rfam family "Bacterial small subunit ribosomal RNA", at positions 527 to 896 of the family's 1533-position model. The record is from RNAcentral.